AUUGAACGCUGGCGGCAGGCCUAACACAUGCAAGUCGAGCGGUAGAGAGAAGCUUGCUUCUCUUGAGAGCGGCGGACGGGUGAGUAAUGCCUAGGAAUCUGCCUGGUAGUGGGGGAUAACGUUCGGAAACGGACGCUAAUACCGCAUACGACCUACGGGAGAAAGCAGAGGACCUUCGGGCCUUGCGCUAUCAGAUGAGCCUAGGUCGGAUUAGCUAGUUGGUGAGGUAAUGGCUCACCAAGGCGACGAUCCGUAACUGGUCUGAGAGGAUGAUCAGUCACACUGGAACUGAGGCACGGUCCAGACUCCUACGGGAGGCAGCAGUGGGGAAUAUUGGACAAUGGGCGAAAGCCUGAUCCAGCCAUGCCGCGUGUGUGAAGAAGGUCUCGGAUUGUAAAGCACUUUAAGUUGGGAGAAGGCAGUUACCUAAUACGUGA
RNAcentral lists this ribosomal RNA (437 nucleotides) under uncultured bacterium. RNAcentral's name for it is "bacterial SSU rRNA". It matches the Rfam family "Bacterial small subunit ribosomal RNA", at positions 30 to 466 of the family's 1533-position model. The record is from RNAcentral.